This 248-nucleotide ribosomal RNA is filed under the name Chaetoceros curvisetus. RNAcentral describes it as "partial Bacterial large subunit ribosomal RNA". It matches the Rfam family "Bacterial large subunit ribosomal RNA", at positions 451 to 700 of the family's 2925-position model. The record is from RNAcentral. Lineage: Eukaryota; Bacillariophyta; Thalassiosirophyceae; Chaetocerotales; Chaetocerotaceae.
GACCAUCCUCCAAGGCUAAAUACUCCUGACUGACCGAUAGUGAACCAGUACCGUGAGGGAAAGGUGAAAAGCACCCCGACGAGGGGAGUGAAACAGUUCCUGAAACCGAACGCCUACAAGCAGUCGGAGGCUCCAUGCGAGCUGACGGCGUACCUUUUGUAUAAUGGGUCAUCGACUUGGUCUCACGAGCAAGCUUAAGCCGUUAGGUGUAGGCGCAGCGAAAGCGAGUCUGAAUAGGGCGACCGAGU